RNAcentral lists this non-coding RNA (263 nucleotides) under Bacillus sp. (in: firmicutes). RNAcentral describes it as "Bacillus sp. T-box sequence". It matches the Rfam family "T-box leader". From Rfam's summary of the family: Uncharged tRNA acts as the effector for transcription antitermination of genes in the T-box leader family. T-boxes are found upstream of many aminoacyl-tRNA synthetase genes and some amino acid biosynthetic genes usually in Gram-positive bacteria. Lineage: Bacteria; Bacillati; Bacillota; Bacilli; Caryophanales; Bacillaceae. The record is from RNAcentral.
UUAAAGGCAAUGAAGAGAAGAGUAAUUUUGAUUCAUUAUUUACAGAGAGUCCCGGCUGGUGGAAAGGGGCAUUAAUGGUCUUAAUGAAAAAAGCCUCCGAGCUUCGUAUGGAUCUAAGGUGAAUCUUAGUGAUGGUGCGACGGGAUCUCCCGUUACAGAGAUAGAGUAUACCCAAUGUUUGUUGGCGUACUCGAAGAGGUUGGUAUGGCAACAUAUCAACAAACUGAGGUGGUACCGCGAAGUGAACAACUCUCGUCCUCAAG